GACAACAGGGAUUGCCCUAGUAACGGCGAGUGAAGCGGCAACAGCUCAAAUUUGAAAUCUGGCCCUCGUGGUCCGAGUUGUAAUUUGUAGAGGAUGCUUUUGGCGCGGUGCCUUCCGAGUUCCCUGGAACGGGACGCCAGAGAGGGUGAGAGCCCCGUACGGUUGGACGCCUAGCCUAUAUAUAGCUCCUUCGACGAGUCGAGUAGUUUGGGAAUGCUGCUCUAAAUGGGAGGUAAAUUUCUUCUAAAGCUAAAUACCGGCCAGAGACCGAUAGCGCACAAGUAGAGUGAUCGAAAGAUGAAAAGCACUUUGAAAAGAGGGUUAAAUAGCACGUGAAAUUGUUGAAAGGGAAGCGUUUGCGACCAGACUUUUUCCAGGCGGAUCAUCCGGUGUUCUCACCGGUGCACUUCGCCUGGUUUAGGCCAGCAUCGGUUCUCUGGGGGGGAUAAAGGCAGGGGGAAAGUAGCUCCUUCGGGAGUGUUAUAGCCCCCUGCGUAAUACCCCUCGGGGGACCGAGGACCGCGCUUCGGCAAGGAUGCUGGCGUAAUGGUCGUCAACGACCCGUCUUGAAACACGGACCAAGGAGUCGAACAUUUGUGCGAGUGUUUGGGUGUUAAACCCUCACGCGUAAUGAAAGUGAACGGAGGUGAGAGCCCUCACGGGUGCAUCAUCGACCGAUCCUGAUGUCUUCGGAUGGAUUUGAGUAAGAGCAUAACUGUUCGGACCCGAAAGAUGGUGAACUAUGCGUGGAUAGGGUGAAGCCAGAGGAAACUCUGGUGGAGGCUCGCAGCGGUUCUGACGUGCAAAUCGAUCGUCAAAUCUGCGCAUGGGGGCGAAAGACUUAUCGAACCAUUAAACCAGCGGUAAAUUUUAGUUUACUAGGUGGUUAAGAGGUCCCCCGGGAGGGGGGCUAGGUCGUCGGGCCAGCUUACCCUGUAGCUACCCUGUAGCUACCCGGUAGGUGCCUACCCUGGAGCUACCCUGCAGAGGGGGGCGCCAGGGGCGGCGGGCCCAGCCGACACCGCUAAAUUGCGGGGACGUCCUACAGAAGGCCACGGGCUACCGCCGGGCGCUGAAAAGCGAGCCGGCACCGAGAAUAGCGCUCUCGGGUAUGGUAAUAACGCCUGUGGUAGCGGACGACCUGCAGCCAACCCCGCAGCUUUAGGGGAGAGUUCACUGACUAAACAGCGGUGGGUUGGCGCUUCCCAGCGCCGGCCUAAGACAUAGUCGAUCCGGCGCCCGAAAGGGCGCCUACCCUACAGGUGACUACCCUGUAGAUGCCUACCCUGUAGGCAUGCAGCGGAGCUAGUAGCUGGUUACCGCCGAAGUUUCCCUCAGGAUAGCAGUGUUGUUUUCAGUUUUAUGAGGUAAAGCGAAUGAUUAGGGACUCGGGGGCGCUAUAUUGCCUUCAUCCAUUCUCAAACUUUAAAUAUGUAAGAAGCCCUUGUUACUUAAUUGAACGUGGGCAUUCGAAUGUAUCAACACUAGUGGGCCAUUUUUGGUAAGCAGAACUGGCGAUGCGGGAUGAACCGAACGCGGGGUUAAGGUGCCAGAGUGGACGCUCAUCAGACACCACAAAAGGUGUUAGUACAUCCUGACAGUUGGACGGUGGCCAUGGAAGUCGGAAUCCGCUAAGGACUGUGUAACAACUCACCAACCGAAUGUACUAGCCCUGAAAAUGGAUGGCGCUCAAGCGUCUCACCCAUACCUCGCCCUUAGGGUAGAACCGAUGCCCUAAGGAGUAGGCGGCCGUAGAGGUCAGUGACGAAGCCUAGGGCGGAGCCCGU
This 1787-nucleotide ribosomal RNA is filed under the name Hypoxylon sp. 5229. Its description in RNAcentral is "eukaryotic LSU rRNA". It matches the Rfam family "Eukaryotic large subunit ribosomal RNA", at positions 56 to 1426 of the family's 3401-position model. Lineage: Eukaryota; Fungi; Ascomycota; Sordariomycetes; Xylariales; Hypoxylaceae. The record is from RNAcentral.